UCCCUGGUGGUCUAGUGGUUAGGCUUUGGUGCUCUCACCUCCAUGGCCCAGGUUUGAUUCCUGGUCAGGGAA
Mus musculus (house mouse) is the source of this 72-nucleotide non-coding RNA. The record is from Rfam. NCBI's taxonomy places the organism in Eukaryota, Metazoa, Chordata, Mammalia, Rodentia, Muridae.